AUUUGACCUUGACCAUGCGUUUGACAUGCUGUUCCGGAGUGACUUCAAAAACCAGCUUUGUGUGGAGAAAACCUGCCAGAGCCAGAACCAAACAAAAAGUCAACCCUGACAGCAGAGCUGAGACUUUCCCGUUCCUUUUAAUCACAACGUGUUGCAACCAGGGACCCCGAGCAAACAGCCCGGAGGAGGAGGAGGAGUAUGUCGUCUAACCAAGUUGCUCAGGAGCCUUUCGACAAAAAAACAGAUGCAUCUCAUAUGGAAAUGUCAGAGUGCCUCAGAGACUUCUGCUCAUGGUGGGGAUGGAAA
Molecule: long non-coding RNA, 306 nt
Organism: Perca flavescens (yellow perch)
Lineage: Eukaryota; Metazoa; Chordata; Actinopteri; Perciformes; Percidae
Exons: 3
Source: RefSeq, a predicted model, not a curated record